Molecule: long non-coding RNA, 155 nt
Organism: Lolium rigidum
Lineage: Eukaryota; Viridiplantae; Streptophyta; Magnoliopsida; Poales; Poaceae
Exons: 3
Source: RefSeq, a predicted model, not a curated record
CUGAACUAGCUCAAACAAAGACAAUCAGGUAUGGGCAUCGAGCAUUGACCCUGCGUGUACAUCCUGGUGCUGCCCACAGGCACAGCAACGCGACCUUCUCAACGCCGCUCUGCUACAAAAUUGACCAGUUCCAAGAAGAUUGGUGUGAUUGUGAG